Molecule: long non-coding RNA, 977 nt
Filed under: Pogonomyrmex barbatus (red harvester ant)
Lineage: Eukaryota; Metazoa; Arthropoda; Insecta; Hymenoptera; Formicidae
Description: uncharacterized LOC105433183, transcript variant X1
Source: RNAcentral
CACACACACACACACACACAAAUAUUAAUAUCAAUAAUUAUCGAUAAAUGCAGAGCUUGUUACCAAGUUCAAGAAAUGAAGAUCCACACAGAUACCAGAUGGCGUACUAAGCUACACAUACCUCCCUCUAUUCGAAACUGAUGAUUCUUCUGAACGUGGCCAUUGGUCCUUGCCUCUAGAACACAACGUCUCAAGUAUUGCAAUAACCAAUCAAUUUACAGCUUUUCCCUAAAAUGAAAGAUCUACUGUUUUUUAGAUAGACUUUUUUUCUCCACCUUUUAUCCUCCUUCCUUUUCUCUCCGACAUGUAAAGAGAAGGAGAAACGAUGAACUAUAUGCAUGAAAUUCAGCUGAAAAGAACUAGAAUCCCUAGGGAUUCUGAAAAAAAAACAGACCUAAAGAUAAAGACGUUCCCACAAAAAUAUCGCGAGCGUCAAAUGGAACGUAGCUUAAGCCGAUGGCGCUGCCGUCGCUGGGUAUCGAUACUAACGCUUGCGAUUCUCGAAGUGAAGACUUGAAUAUUUUCGCGGCGAAGCAUGGACUUUUCUACGGGAUGCGGUAAUGUGACCCGCGUUUUGUUACUGGCUUCGUCGGCUUUCUGAGGACGUUUGAACGAGACAUAUAUGAACGUGACGUACAUACGCGUGCAUUCCUGUGUGCAGGUAACAAAUAUAAAAAUAAUAUUGUGUCAGUGUGCAAAAAAACUACAGGAUGGAAAAGAUGAACUUGAACGGUUGGCUUGCAUAUAUCUGCAGCGCUUUCACACAAUUCGUCUAUGAUGUAGUGAAGAAAAGUACUGUAUAACGAUGUUUCUGGAUAAAAAGAAACAUUAGGGUCAUGAAAGUAUGUGCCUUCGAGUCAGACGUAUAAAGGAUUUUAUUUAGUGGAGAAGAGGUUUGAGAAGUGGUUUUCACAAAGUGUUACUCAACAUAUGUUAAUACUAUUAAGUAAUAAUUACAAACAAAAUGACAAAAAAAA